RNAcentral lists this transfer RNA (69 nucleotides) under Sphaerodactylus townsendi. RNAcentral describes it as "tRNA-Ser". Lineage: Eukaryota; Metazoa; Chordata; Lepidosauria; Squamata; Sphaerodactylidae. The record is from RNAcentral.
GUCGUGGUUCGGUGGUGGAGCAUCUGCUUGGAAUGCAAAUGGUUCCUGGUUCAAAACCUGGCAUCUCCA